This 1308-nucleotide long non-coding RNA is filed under the name Capra hircus (goat). RNAcentral's name for it is "lncRNA (ENSCHIG00010028472.1)". Lineage: Eukaryota; Metazoa; Chordata; Mammalia; Artiodactyla; Bovidae. The record is from RNAcentral.
UGUGCGUAUGGGAUUUACUGGCCUGGGUCACACACCCACACCAUCAAGUUGAGGAUGGGAGAGUCUGGCCCAUUCAGCUUUAAUAGUAGGUACUCACAACCAAGAUUCAUACAGUGAAAAACUCCUCAAAAAUAGAAAAUAAAGAUUAAAACAUUCUCUACUACAUUCUGCUGUUGUGGCUGCCUAGUACCCAAUAUACCCUAGUUCCUAUAUUUGCCUUUUAACAAUAGUUUUUUUGCCUAACACAGCACCUGUAUACUAUGUAGCCAAGACCACAUGCAGUCAUUUCACCCAGAGGAGAAAAUCUAAGGUUUUUCUCUCUCUUUUUUAANNNNNNNNNNNNNNNNNNNNNNNNNNNNNNNNNNNNNNNNNNUGCAUAACUGGUACACUUAAAAACCCAAGGUCUUUGUUAGUUGUGGGAACCGGUUUCAAGUCAGAACUCUUAGGGGUGUGAAUCUCUCUUUUAGUUCUAUCACAAUUUUGCUUGAUGUUCCAAAACUCAUGAACUAAGUACUAAUGCAUCGUAUAUGCAGCAGUGGGGAAAGGGGAAGGAGAUGAGAAAUUAGCUGAAAUAAAUAUACAUACACACACACAUGCGACACAGCAGGAAAGGAAAUAGCUGUUCAGAGAUGAAGGGAAAACUUCAGAUAAAUUGAGAUAUAGGAAGGUUUUCUGAAGACACAGGGAAAGGGGUUGGGGUGUCGGCAAGAGAUUGGAGAUCAGACAAGGGAACUCUUGAGUGGGUGGAUUCACCUAAGAAACUUGGACACGUGAUGGCUAGGAAAGCAGUUGUCAUUUCUUAGGGGAGGCCAGCUAAUCAGAUCCAGGCACUCUGUCCUCAGCUGCUACAUUAGGUAUCAUGUCUGGGAAUGGCAGCCCUACCCAAGAACAGAUGCAGUUCUAGGGGUCCCUGCUUUGGUUGUGUGUAGGAGGUUUGUAAGGGACUCUAUGGGAACUUAGGGAGCUCUGGGGAUUUCUGUGGGUCUUGACAAGGGUAGGUCCUGAGUCUGGCAGAUGGGCUUUUGUCAGGAAAACAUGGUCUACUGGGGUGUGGUGCCAUGGCCCCAGGAAUAGGCACUUAGUAUGUCAUGCUCUAAAGUCCUUCAAGUCCAAGUCCUGAAGGUCCUGAAGGCUUGUUUUACGAGGUGCAAUGGGCACUGUUCCAGUUAAGCAGCGUAACUGGUCCUCCUCGAAUCCUACAGAAGCAUCCACAUCUCUGUGAGACCUUCCAUUAACUCCUGGUGUAGGCAUAUGUAUUCUCUAUUAAUUUUUUAAAAAUUUCCCUAGUCAGGGAGAGGGAAAGAUGGC